Molecule: ribosomal RNA, 832 nt
Filed under: uncultured Sphingobacteriales bacterium
Lineage: Bacteria; Pseudomonadati; Bacteroidota; Sphingobacteriia; Sphingobacteriales
Description: bacterial SSU rRNA
Rfam family: Bacterial small subunit ribosomal RNA
Source: RNAcentral
GGCAUUAGAGUUUGAUCCUGGCUCAGGAUGAACGCUAGCGGCAGGCCUAACACAUGCAAGUCGAGGGGCAGCACGAAUGAUAGCAAUAUUAUUUGGUGGCGACCGGCGCACGGGUGCGUAACACGUAUGUAAUCUGCCUUGUACUGGGGCAUAACUCAGAGAAAUCUGUGCUAAUUCCCCAUAAUAUUAUGAAGUGGCAUCACUUUAUAAUUAAAGUUUCGACGGUACAAGAUGAACAUGCGUCCAAUUAGCUAGUUGGUGAGGUAACGGCUCACCAAGGCUACGAUUGGUAGGGGUUCUGAGAGGAUGAUCCCCCACACUGGUACUGAGACACGGACCAGACUCCUACGGGAGGCAGCAGUGAGGAAUAUUGCGCAAUGGACGAAAGUCUGACGCAGCCAUGCCGCGUGCAGGAUUGAAGGCCCUAUGGGUUGUAAACUGCUUUUGUAUAGGAAAAAACCCCUUUACGUGUAGAGGGCUGAUGGUACUAUAAGAAUAAGCACCGGCUAACUCCGUGCCAGCAGCCGCGGUAAUACGGAGGGUGCAAGCGUUAUCCGGAUUUAUUGGGUUUAAAGGGUCCGCAAGCGGACCGUUAAGUCAGUGGUGAAAACCCACAGCUCAACUGUGGAAUUGCCAUUGAUACUGGCGGUCUUGAGUAUGUAUGAAGUUGGCGGAAUGUGUGGUGUAGCGGUGAAAUGCUUAAAUAUCCAACAAACACCGAUUGCGAAAGGCGCUUGACUAAUACCCACUGACGCUCAGGGACAAAGUGUGGGGAUCAAACAGGAUUAAAUCCCCGUGUAUCCACACCGAAAACAAGAUCCCUAAAUUUUGU